GCGCGAAAACUUUACAAUGCUGGCAACAGCGAUAAGGGAACCUCGAGUGCCGGGUUACAAAUCUGGCUGUCGAGAUGCCUAAAAAGCAUUUCAUAGCAAGGGCCGGGCAAGACCGGUGCCAGCCGCCGCGGUAACACCGGCGGCUCGAGUGGUAACCGUUAUUAUUGGGUCUAAAGGGUCUGUAGCCGGCCGGAUAAGUCUCUUGAGAAAUCUGGCAGCUUAACUGUCAGGCUUUCAGGAGAUACUGUCUGGCUCGAGGCCGGGAGAGGUGAGAGGUACUUCAGGGGUAGGGGUGAAAUCUUGUAAUCCUUGAAGGACCACCAGUGGCGAAGGCGUCUCACCAGAACGGACCUGACGGCAAGAGACGAAAGCUAGGGGCACGAACCG
This 387-nucleotide ribosomal RNA is filed under the name uncultured bacterium. Its description in RNAcentral is "bacterial SSU rRNA". It matches the Rfam family "Archaeal small subunit ribosomal RNA", at positions 339 to 726 of the family's 1478-position model. The record is from RNAcentral.